Cervus elaphus (red deer) is the source of this 4214-nucleotide long non-coding RNA. RefSeq lists it as uncharacterized. Lineage: Eukaryota; Metazoa; Chordata; Mammalia; Artiodactyla; Cervidae. The transcript is spliced from 26 exons. The record is from RefSeq and is a predicted model, not a curated record.
CAAAACCAAUAAGGGAAAGAUCAUGUGCAGUUACCCCAACUGGACAAGGAAGAGGACUUCUUUUCCAGAUGGGCAAAUUUUACCUGACGGGAGCAAGUAAAACCAGCAUAACAAUACUUACCUCCCAGGAUACAUGCAAUGAAAGACAAGACCUAGAAGUGAUCUUCAUGUGUGCACUAUGUGCAAAGGGAAAGCAGAAGAAAUCCUGACUGAGGCCAGAAUGAAAUGACUAUCAAAUAAUAGGUGGUCUGGAAUCUGGAUGUUUUCCAGGAAGAUCCAGGAGCUCAACUAUAUUGUCAGGGAUGAGAUGCUUGCCCAUUCUGUUUUGUAGAGCAUCAAACCAAAGCACAGAACCCAAGUCUUGAGAAGCAGGGUACAGUGUUCAGGACUGAAUUGAUUUUUCCUGUGCCUUAUCUGAGAAACCUGAGUGUCUUAACAUGGUGAUCUGAGAGAAUGGGCUGCUUUGUGUUCACACACACGAAUUGCUCAACUUCCUGAAUGAAGCAGAGAAAGAAGGAAGAAUCAGUAUAUACAUCAUGUAGAGGAUGCCUGGUGAGGAGAAAUGGAAGACCCACCAUAGGAUUCUCUCCUCUGGGCUGGGAUGGAAGAUGGACCUAUCAACACUUCUCAGCCCAUUUAUCCUGUUACGAACCAUUAUCACAGACAGAAGUGUUCUAGAGAGUGGAUGCUACCAGCAAAGCAGAUAGUGAUUCCUCUCUACUCUUUCCAUCCUGUAACCCUAUAUGCACUGUUCAAUCCUAGGACACCAUGUCACUUUUUAAACUACCCAUGGAGAUGGAAUUGAAUGAUAUUUCAAUGAUCUGCAUCCUAGUAUUUUCCCCCAAAGUUCAAGUUAUCUUUAAGUAUCUUAACUCAAAUCAUUCACCCAGCAACGAUUUAUUUCUUGAGCAACUUCAGUGUUUCAGCAGCAACCUAUUAGUGAUGGAGUGACAAGAGUCAGCAGGACGGGUGCUGGACAGGUGCUAUUUCAAGGAGAGUGAGGAGUCUGCAGAUAAGGGGAGUAAAAGGUAGCCUGCGGCACACCCGGUCACCAGGGCUCUGUCCUGAAGUGAGGCGACUUCAGCCAUUCCCACUCAUCCAUAGUGCUAGAAGACUGAAGAUGGGAACUGUCCCCAGGCCUGCUGACUGACUCCAUAGCCAAGUAAUGUUCAAAGAAAGAGGCUUUGAAGAGUUAGGAGACCAUGCUGGGGAACUGCACAUGUCAGGAACUGUGGGCAGUCUCUUGAAACUGAUGACAUUCUUGACUGACAGCCAGCAAGAAGCGUGCAGUCUUAUCAGAGGAAGGAAUUGAAUUCUGCCAACAACUUAAGUGAGCUUAGAAGUGAAUCCUUACCCAGACAAUUCCCAGCACCUGUGGCAAGAAUUGGGAUAUGUCGAAUUGGAAGAACAAAAAAAAAAAAGCAAAAAUAUUAGCAAAAUAGUUUAAAGGAAAAGCUAUGAGAAGAGAUGGAAACAACUUACAAUGAUCCAAAAGGGAGACAUUAAGGCAAGAGGAAAUGUUAAUAUUUGAAGCCGAGAUGAUAUUUCUAGAAAUAAAAUGGCUCCUUGUUUCACUACCUGUCUCAGAAUUAUACUGAAUCCUGAAACAAAGCCGGGAACACCACUCAUGGCAACUCCCUAGCUGCAAGGAGAUUUGUUUUCAAAGCGCCUGACAAGCUACAUCCGAUUCAUCCUCAAAACCGACUUGUCAGGGGAAUAAAUACCAAGUGUCGGAACUUCCCAAGAAAUCUAGUGAUGAAAAGCCCUUUAACGAUGAACAAAUUAAAUUCAGUUUUAAUGCCAGGAACAGAAAGAAAGCAAAAUGAAGAGGCGCAGAAGAGUGAGCCCAGGUGCUAUAUAUUUGAUGAUCUAGGAUUUACGUCCACACCACUUCCGUUACCAAGGAUUAGAACAGAGGAGGCUUGGGUUUUGCUGGUGCGGACAUCUCCUAAUUCCAAACAUCUCCUAAAUCCAUCGAGAAGAAAGAAGAUGAGAAGGUGGAAUGAGAAACAUAGAUCACAGGAUAAUGACUGGUUCCUAACAUUUCUUCUGUAGAUAUGAUGACCAAAGACUGAGCUCUACAUGAGCCAAGUGGAGGUCUCUGAGGCACCAAAGAUGGUGGAGACACAUGAUGAAGACGACUGGAUUCCUGCAUGACUCUGUGGAGCAUAGUGUCCUCCAUAAUGGCACAAGAAAGAAAGGUGCAUCGUGCAAAAACUGGACAUCACAAUCUUCCCCCGCACCAGGUCUAAAGGAUGAAGGUACAAACAGCUGAGAAUACAAGUCAUGGACCAGCGCCCAGUGAAGUCACUACUUUGGGGGCCCAGAACUGUCAUCACUGUCCUCACAAGUCCACGCUUCUGGACGCUUGUGUGGACUCCACACCUGCAGCAUCUGGCUCACGGCUGACCACAACAGGCCAGAUUCACAUUCGGCUUGACCUUGGGACUGUGGGCAGCACACUGAACUUCUCUGAAGCUCAGUUUCUUCGACUGUGAAAUGGGAGAAGCUAUAACCGCCUUGGGACAUGGCCAACAGCAAAGUCAGAUGUGCACACACAUCGCCUGGGAUCCUGUUAAGAUCCUCCAUCUACAUGCCCCACUGCUCUCAUUUGCCUGCACUUCUGGAAUAUCUUCACGCUUUUCUGCCUGGAGCACCCCAGGAGACCUCAAGGAUAACAGGCUUUCAUCCUUAAUCUGAAGCUUUAUUUCAGAAAACAAGUUGGAGGAAAAGAAGGGUAUCUAGAAAACUUAUCUCAAGAAACUUUUUCCAUAAAGCUGUCACUGAACCUCGAGGUUCUGAAGAAGCAUAGCAUCUUAGAGGGAAGAAGCUGCCAAGCCUGAGAAUGAUGAAGCCCCUGUGGUUUCCUUUUUAGCUUCCCGCUUUACAAAUGAUGCACCUUCGUGUCUUUACAGCAGAAACUACAGUCUGGUCCUCUCCUGGGUGUUCUGGUCCAUUGCCAAGUCCUCUAAAGCCUGAUGAUACUUUCCUCACAGCCUGAGAGCAAAAUAACGUGGUGUGAAGGCCCAGGAAGCAAGCUCAUCUUGUGCAAACCUGCUCCAGCCCCAGAAGCAACCAUUUCUUUGAGGAGCCCUCUUCCUUUUGGUGGGCAAAGGCAGUAGAGAUCAAGAUCCGGGAACCAGAUGUCUGUCUUCUCUACCUUUCCAAAAAUGCCUUGAAGGUGGGGACUACGCACAGCCUUCUUGUGUCUCCAACUUCUGGGACAGCGUCCAUUCUGGGCAAUGGUUUACCUGGUUGGAAUUCAGCAAUAAACCAGACCAAGUGGGUGUUCACUUCGUGACACCCAUAUUCCAGUGCAGAAGACAGGUUAAACAUAAUUAAUGAAUUUACAAGUAAUAUGAUAUAUUGGCGAGUGCUGUGAAGACAUUUUAUUCAAGAUAAGUGGACAACAAGGGAUAGCACAGUGGAGCCUCACUACUUUGCAACCAGAGAGAUGAUUCGCUGCCCUGAAGCACUCCACGGAUGGGCAAGGCCCAGCCUGCGUCGUUGCCUUUCUUGGGACCAGUUUCUCUGGCCAGAGGAGGACUGCUUCCCACUCUCCCCACCACACUUCACAGCAGCACCAGUCCCCCACGAGUCUUGCUGAGGAUUUGUAUCCCUUGAAGGAGCUGGUGUAAGCCUGAGGCCACUGGCAGUCAUCUUGUGGAAUCCAGAUGGAAUCAAUGGGAACAUAUCAGAGGAGGAAGCCGGGGCUCAGAUGAAGGAAUCAGCUUAACCGAAGUUUCCCAACCAGAAAGUAGCAAAAUGAAGACUGGAAAGCAUUUAUUGUUGGCGGCAGCAUGGAAAGCAGACCUGCGCUGCCCCGUGCUGCAGCUGCCAGCCGCCGUGACUCAAAAAAGGCUCUGCAUCCGGGUGUCCUGGCCAAGAGACACUCCCGACCUCAAAGACUUGGCGCGGGAGAAAUGCUAUAAGCUCCUAGAGUAUGAGAGAUGUGACCUGGGCCAUUCUUGGCCUCCCAGCCUCAAUCUCCAGUGAAGGCCUUGAAGGUGCUCUGAUGAAGACAGUGAGGCACAGGGAUCCAGGGAAGUAGGAGACUGCCGUCAGAUGAUCACCUGGACUCCUGCCACCAGCAGCCUGUGAGGGAAGAGCUCUACCACCUGCAUCUCAGAGGAGCAAAGUGAGACCCAGUGAGGUGUGUUGCCAGCCCAAGCACUGGGAAGGAGGGGCCACGACUGGAACCCAGGCAGGUGGGC